RNAcentral lists this ribosomal RNA (252 nucleotides) under uncultured bacterium. RNAcentral describes it as "partial 16S ribosomal RNA". It matches the Rfam family "Bacterial small subunit ribosomal RNA", at positions 524 to 775 of the family's 1533-position model. The record is from RNAcentral.
GACAGAGGGUGCAAACGUUGUUCGGAAUUACUGGGCGUAAAGGGCUCGUAGGCGGCCAACUAAGUCAGACGUGAAAUCCCUCGGCUUAACCGGGGAACUGCGUCUGAUACUGGAUGGCUUGAGUUUGGGAGAGGGAUGCGGAAUUCCAGGUGUAGCGGUGAAAUGCGUAGAUAUCUGGAGGAACACCGGUGGCGAAGGCGGCGUCCUGGACCAACACUGACACUGAUGAGCGAAGCCAAGGGCAGGACAACA